GUGCAGUUGCGUCAGCCAGGGACACUCAAUGUGGAGCCAGGGUAGUCUUUUUCCAGCAGAGCGGGAAAGUAAUUUAUUGGUUGAUCUUGAGAAACUAGGAGAAAAUGCGUGUCAGGCUGGCAGUUUCUCACAGUUGUACACGUGCAAGGCAGUCCAUUGGGUGACGAGACGCUGAUAUGACAACAAUGGCUUGUGAACCAUGAGGAUCUCAAAACUACAGUUGUCAAUUGGUUCACUUUCCAGAUGGGGAACCUCUAUGAAUAUGGGUUGCUGAGAAUAGAGCAGUUGUACAAGGAGCUGAAUGAAAUGCCCCACUGAAGAAGACAGUGUUGGACAACAGGAAGUCAUUAGUACCCUUACUGAAUGUCGAGAAAAUGAAGAACAAGGUACUCAAGACAUGGAUGAUGACAGCCUUCUUACUGCUAAGAGCACAGUAAAAGCAACAGGAAUGCCAGCGCAAGAGAACCAGUUUGCGACGCCAAUAGCAAAGAAAAGACGUAUUUGAAAACUUUUCAAAGCUGAGAGUGCACUUAAGAAAUAACAAAAAAUUGCUAUGGAUAGAUUAUCGUCUUCAAAAAAAGUAACUGACAAGCAUGAGCUGAAUGGCAAACAUAUUGCUCGCCGACUGAGAACGCUUCCUGCCUGAAGCUCUGCAAACUUGCAAGAAAAAUGCCAGAGUGUUAUCACCAAAGAAAAGCUAAAACACUUGCCGCCGGCUUCACCAGUUACUUGUGCAUCAGCGUACGGAGGUACAUCAUCGCACCUGUAGAUGAUGUGGAAGAUCUUACCAGUUUGAACCCGGACCUAUUCGCGAUUGAUGAUAUGGUAUACAGACAACUACAGUAGCUUCUCCAGAAAUAAAGACAGAGUUAACGU
Schistocerca piceifrons (Central American locust) is the source of this 876-nucleotide long non-coding RNA. RefSeq lists it as uncharacterized. The record is from RefSeq and is a predicted model, not a curated record. The transcript is spliced from 3 exons. Lineage: Eukaryota; Metazoa; Arthropoda; Insecta; Orthoptera; Acrididae.